Transfer RNA from Ovis aries (sheep), 73 nucleotides. It matches the Rfam family "tRNA". From Rfam's summary of the family: Transfer RNA (tRNA) molecules are approximately 80 nucleotides in length. Their secondary structure includes four short double-helical elements and three loops (D, anti-codon, and T loops). Further hydrogen bonds mediate the characteristic L-shaped molecular structure. tRNAs have two regions of fundamental functional importance: the anti-codon, which is responsible for specific mRNA codon recognition, and the 3' end, to which the tRNAs corresponding amino acid is attached (by aminoacyl-tRNA synthetases). tRNAs cope with the degeneracy of the genetic code in two manners: having more than one tRNA (with a specific anti-codon) for a particular amino acid; and 'wobble' base-pairing, i.e. permitting non-standard base-pairing at the 3rd anti-codon position. The record is from Rfam. NCBI's taxonomy places the organism in Eukaryota, Metazoa, Chordata, Mammalia, Artiodactyla, Bovidae.
UCUCUGGUGGUCCAAUGGCUAAGACUCCACCCUUCCAAUGCAGGGGUCCCAGGUUCAAUCCCUGGUCAGGGAA